Molecule: small nucleolar RNA, 129 nt
Filed under: Sorex araneus (European shrew)
Lineage: Eukaryota; Metazoa; Chordata; Mammalia; Eulipotyphla; Soricidae
Description: Small nucleolar RNA SNORA42/SNORA80 family (ENSSARG00000014867.1)
Source: RNAcentral
GACUGGAAGCAUAUGGCACGCCUGUCCCACUAGGUCUCUCACAGUGUCCCAUGCCAGAGCAAACUGUGACCCUAAAACAUUGUUAGACCUUUGCCAGUUGACUUUGAACAUUGAGGUGGGUGUACAGUG